RNAcentral lists this ribosomal RNA (162 nucleotides) under uncultured bacterium. Its description in RNAcentral is "partial 16S ribosomal RNA". It matches the Rfam family "Bacterial small subunit ribosomal RNA", at positions 355 to 509 of the family's 1533-position model. The record is from RNAcentral.
UAGGGAAUUUUCGUUCAAUGGGCGCAAGCCUGAACGAGCGAUGCCGCGUGAGUGAAGAAGGCCUUCGGUCGUAAAGCUCUGUUGCGGGGGAAAAAAGGCAGCAUCAGGAAAUGGGUGCUGACUGAUGGUGCCCCGCCAGAAAGUCACGGCUAACUACGUGCC